AGAGUUUGAUCCUGGCUCAGAAUCAACGCUGGCGGCGUGCCUAACACAUGCAAGUCGCACGAGAAAGUGGAGCAAUCCAUGAGUACAGUGGCGCACGGGUGAGUAACACGUGACUAAUCUACCUCCGAGUGGGGAAUAACCUGGGGAAACCUGGGCUAAUACCGCAUAACACUUACGAGUCAAAGCAGCAAUGCGCUUGGAGAGGAGGUCGCGGUCGAUUAGCUAGUUGGCAGGGUAAAAGCCUACCAAGGCAAAGAUCGGUAGCCGGCCUGAGAGGGCACACGGCCACACUGGCACUGAAACACGGGCCAGACUCCUACGGGAGGCAGCAGUGGGGAAUCUUGCACAAUGGGGGAAACCCUGAUGCAGCGACGCCGCGUGAGCGAUGAAGCCCUUCGGGGUGUAAAGCUCUUUCGGCAGGGAAGAUGGUGACGGUACCUGCAGAAGCAGCUGCGGCUAACUACGUGCCAGCAGCCGCGGUAAUACGUAGGCAGCAAGCGUUGUUCGGAGUUACUGGGCGUAAAGGGUGUGUAGGCGGUUUUUUAAGUUUGGUGUGAAAUCUCCCGGCUCAACUGGGAGGGUGCGCCGAAUACUGAAAGACUAGAGUGCGGGAGAGGAAAGUGGAAUUCCUGGUGUAGCGGUGAAAUGCGUAGAUAUCAGGAGGAACACCGGUGGUGUAGACGGCUUUCUGGACCGUAACUGACGCUGAGACACGAAAGCGUGGGUAGCAAACAGGAUUAGAUACCCUGGUAGUCCACGCCCUAAACGAUGCAUAUUUGGUGUGGGCAGUUCAUUCUGUCCGUGCCGGAGCUAACGCGUUAAAUAUGCCGCCUGGGGAGUACAGUCGCAAGGCUGAAACUCAAAGGAAUUGACGG
Molecule: ribosomal RNA, 875 nt
Filed under: uncultured bacterium
Lineage: Bacteria
Description: bacterial SSU rRNA
Rfam family: Bacterial small subunit ribosomal RNA
Source: RNAcentral